AGUGAACGCUGGCGGUAGGCCUAACACAUGCAAGUCGAACGGCAGCACAGUAAGAGCUUGCUCUUACGGGUGGCGAGUGGCGGACGGGUGAGGAAUACAUCGGAAUCUACUUUUUCGUGGGGGAUAACGUAGGGAAACUUACGCUAAUACCUCAUACGACCUACGGGUGAAAGCAGGGGAUCUUCGGACCUUGCGCGAUUGAAUGAGCCGAUGUCGGAUUAGCUAGUUGGCGGGGUAAAGGCCCACCAAGGCGACGAUCCGUAGCUGGUCUGAGAGGAUGAUCAGCCACACUGGAACUGAGACACGGUCCAGACUCCUACGGGAGGCAGCAGUGGGGAAUAUUGGACAAUGGGCGCAAGCCUGAUCCAGCUAUACCGCGUGGGUGAAGAAGGCCUUCGGGUGGUAAAGCCCUUUUGUUGGGAAAGAAAAGCAGCAGGUUAAUACCCCGCUGUUCUGACGGUACCAAAAGAAUAAGCACCGGCUAACUUCGU
RNAcentral lists this ribosomal RNA (491 nucleotides) under uncultured bacterium. RNAcentral's name for it is "partial 16S ribosomal RNA". It matches the Rfam family "Bacterial small subunit ribosomal RNA", at positions 29 to 506 of the family's 1533-position model. The record is from RNAcentral.